UCACACCUGCGCGGGCUUUGAUUGGUGGAGAUCACGUGACACGGCCUCCUUCACUCCUGAGACGUUCGUGGCAGCGGAGAGUCGGCAAAAGUUCUUAUAUUUUGCUCUCUAUCGCGAAAACAGUGUGGUGUGGGCGGUUUGUGGUGUCCUGGCGUGGGUGUUGGAUGGCUGGCGCGGCUGCUGACGGGCGUGGGUGGCGCGGCAGGGAAGGAUGGCGGACAAACACGAUGAUAAAGAUUCCGGCCGGGUUUGUGUAUCAAGGAUCCAUCUCCCCCUCCCUCCCCCCACCACCGCACGCCCCCUACACACCUCCACCACCGAGCUCUGACACGCCACACAACACGCUAUGACACGCUGGGCCACGACACAUUGUAAACCUUGCUGUUAAGAAGAAGAAGAGAGGAAGAAGAAGAAGAAGAAGAAGA
Molecule: long non-coding RNA, 425 nt
Filed under: Portunus trituberculatus (swimming crab)
Lineage: Eukaryota; Metazoa; Arthropoda; Malacostraca; Decapoda; Portunidae
Description: uncharacterized LOC123504819, transcript variant X3
Source: RNAcentral